ACUCCUACGGGAGGCAGCAGUGGGGAAUAUUGCACAAUGGGGGAAACCCUGAUGCAGCCAUGCCGCGUGUGUGAAGAAGGCCUUCGGGUUGUAAAGCACUUUCAGUAGGGAGGAAGGUAGUGUAGUUAACACCUGCAUUAUUUUGACGUACCUACAGAAGAAGCACCGGCUAACUCCGUGCCAGCAGCCGCGGUAAUACGGAGGGUGCGAGCGUUAAUCGGAAUUACUGGGCGUAAAGCGCAUGCAGGCGGCCUGUUAAGUCAGAUGUGAAAGCCCGGGGCUUAACCUCGGAAUUGCAUUUGAAACUGGCAGGCUAGAGUCUUGUAGAGGGGGGUAGAAUUUCAGGGUGUAGCGGUGAAAUGCGUAGAGAUCUGAAGGAAUACCAGUGGCGAAGGCGGCCCCCUGGACAAAGACUGACGCUCAGAUGCGAAAGCGUGGGGAGCAAACAGGAUUAGAUACCCUGGUAGGAUAG
Molecule: ribosomal RNA, 472 nt
Filed under: uncultured bacterium
Lineage: Bacteria
Description: bacterial SSU rRNA
Rfam family: Bacterial small subunit ribosomal RNA
Source: RNAcentral